GCCCGAAGCCCCACGUCCCUGAGCUCCGGGUGGUGAGGCCUCGGCUCCCGGUGCCCUUGGCAGCCGCCUUCGGGUUUACAGAGAGAGCCGGCGAGCUCCGCGCCCGGCCCCAUGGGCACCUCUGCUCCUUGAGCUCCGGGGUGUCUGCCUAAGGGGCCCUGGUCUCCGAAGCCACGGAAGAGCGGGUGCAACCUCUCUGAGCGCCCGUACCAAGCCUGCUCUACGGCAGGUGCGUCUCGUGGACACACGCGCGCGACUGUCGGGGUAAGAUCAACACGGAGACUUCGCGCCUCCGCGUUCCGAGAGGCGCUCGGGGCUGCUGCCUCCUCUCAACCACCUUUGCCCCAAAGACCCCAGAAGGACCUAGUGAGUCCAGGCCCCCUUGCCUCUGCCCUUGGUGGGAGACUUGAGGGGCCCGCCGGGUGCUGCCUACAUGACUUGCUGAGCCUCCUCGGGUGUGGGUGUGGCAGGCAGGGGGAGCUGGGAGGCGUGUCCAGGACAGAGGUGACUGACUGGCCGGAGGAGGGGGAGCCCACUGAGGAGAGUGCCAGCUACAUAAGGGCCAGCCCAGCCCAGCCCGGAGCUCUCUGGGAGGUGCCAGGUGCCAGGAUGAAGGCUGCUGCUCUGCUGGUGGUACUGCUGUGCUCAGGUGGAGCCUGGGCCAUAAGAUGCCACAACUGCACGAACCCUAACGGGAACACCUGCUCAGGACCCGUAGACUGCCCCAGCAACGCCAACGCCUGCGCUUCAUAUUUGCUGAGUGAGUCCAGGCUCUGUCUUCCUAGAAGUUAAGAGGGUACGGUGGGACUCGAAGACCUCGGCAGGGGUGGGGGCGAAGGACAGGGCGGGCUACUACCACAGCCCAAGAGGUGUGACAAGUCUCACUCUACACAAAAAGCCUGAAGUUAGAAAAAGUCCCCAGGGGGAUUUCCUGUGAAUCCAAGUGUGGCUUCACAGUGUGAGCCAGACCCUGGCCGCAAGGGCUCCAGCCAGGGGCGCUGCAGCCAGCACGGUUCCCUGGGCACUGCUGGGGUAGGUGCCAAGGCGGAGAGGUCCAUGGGCUCUCAGGACUCUAAGAUAAGUGCAUUCUGGGGUCAGGAGGAAAGUUCCAGUCACAGUCAGUGACCCACAGCCUCUGGAUGUUUCUUCCAUGUGACAGAUGUCAAACUGCCAGACAAGACGUUGGACACGGCAAUCAAGACCUGUAUGCAAUCGUGCGAGAGCCUCAACCCCAUGCCAUCCCGUGCUUCAUCCGGAGCUUUAGUCAGCGAUCUACAUGCCUCCAUCUACUGUUGCAGCACCAACCUGUGUAACCGAGCUGGGGGCCCAGGGCCAGGGGCCACCACCGUGGGCCUGAUGCUUGUGGCCAGUGUCCUUGUCACCCUCCUAGGGGCCUCCCUGUGACCCAGAGGUGCGGGACAUGAUUGAGGCAGCACAACCCAGGACACCCAGACCCCUAAGCCCCUGUCCCCAUCAGGCUGUCUGUGAGCUCAUAAAUUGAAGACAGAGUACAGAGGAAGUGGAGGGCCUGGUGGGGUGGUUACAGAGGACCACGCCCAUUCGCCCCAGAUCUUCAAGGCCAACAGAGGCACCCCACCCCAGCACACCAACGCAGAGAACCUCCUGGAGUCUUUGGCUUUUUCUGGGUGUCCUGCCCGGGGCCUUCAGCCAUCAGUGCCAGGCCUACCACAGUCCUCGGGGAGCUGCUCCCCCAGUUGUGCAGAGACUUUCCGUCGCCCUGGGUGGAGUGUGAACCCAAGGCCUGACUUCCAGCCCAGAGCCACUGGCCAGGCUGGGGCUCCACCCGCAGCGUCCCCUUCCUGCGGCACCGCUUGUCCCUGUCCGACCCCCUGCCCGUGCCCCCCACUUCCCCAGGAGUAGCUCUGGAAUAAAG
Molecule: long non-coding RNA, 1894 nt
Organism: Vulpes vulpes (red fox)
Lineage: Eukaryota; Metazoa; Chordata; Mammalia; Carnivora; Canidae
Source: Ensembl